UGACUAAAUGGUUAAUAUGGCACAAGCUUUGAAUUUGGAAUUUAAAUUAACAUGACUAAAUAGUUAGUAUGGUUCAAAGUUAGAAUAGUUAACC
RNAcentral lists this transfer RNA (94 nucleotides) under Amborella trichopoda. Its description in RNAcentral is "tRNA AMTR_s00155t00274720". Lineage: Eukaryota; Viridiplantae; Streptophyta; Magnoliopsida; Amborellales; Amborellaceae. The record is from RNAcentral.